This 254-nucleotide ribosomal RNA is filed under the name uncultured bacterium. Its description in RNAcentral is "partial 16S ribosomal RNA". It matches the Rfam family "Bacterial small subunit ribosomal RNA", at positions 524 to 776 of the family's 1533-position model. The record is from RNAcentral.
UACGGGGGGAGCAAGCGUUGUUCGGAUUUACUGGGCGUAAAGGGCGCGUAGGCGGUCAGCACAAGUCAGUUGUGAAAUCUCCGGGCUUAACUCGGAAAGGUCAACUGAUACUGUGCGACUAGAGUGCGGAAGGGGCAACUGGAAUUCUCGGUGUAGCGGUGAAAUGCGUAGAUAUCAGGAGGAACAUCGGUGGCGAAGGCGACCCGCUGGCCAGCGACUGACGCUGAGACGCGAAAGCGUGGGGAGCAAACAGG